AGGUCCCGAACAGGUGCUGCAUCACCCCCACCGCUUCGCCUCGAUUGGCACUGGCGCAGGCCACCCCGCCGCUCGACCUCGCCUCGCACCGGAGGCGACCACCACCAUCCUCCCCGCUCCCUCCCCUCCCCCAACCCGAUAUAGAUGCCUAACCCGCGGGAAUAGGCAGGCGGCCGGCGGGCGACGCGAGGCGCGGUGGCUGCGCGAGGAAGACGGGCAGAUGCGGGCGCGGCGUCGACCGAUCUGGCCGGUGGUGCGGCGGCUUGUUCCGGUGCCAGCGGCGUCCUGCUCAUCCAGAGAAGGAGAGACAAGGGCCUGAGGGAGAGAGGAGACAGAGGAAGAAAUGAGAAGGAGAAGGGGCGCACGCAGGGUGAGGGAGGCAGUCGCCGGCAAUGGCGGCUCCGGUGACUGACCGACGGGCUUGCUAGGCACAUGCUGCUUUAGUUGAACAGCCAGUUUGCUGUGUUUGACAUGUCGUGCCUGAAAUUUUGUUCUGGAACAUGCUGCUUUAGUUGGUAAAAUCAUUCUUGGGUAGAUUUAUCCGAUGUACUGAUGGAUCAUCCUCUGGAGUGCAUGAAUUGAAUGAAUUUCUGAAUUCUGAGCAGUAUGAUGUCAUGGUAUUUGAUUAGGUUCUUCUAUGAAUCCGUACCAAAACCAUCCUUGUAAUUUGUUGUUCCCUCUCUCUUAUCUGUGGUGCAUCUAGCUUUGGCCCAGUCCUCUAAAAAUAUUGAUCUCAUUGUUGUGAAUUUUGCACCACAGGGAAGAAGUUGUGGUGGCGGCGAAUUAUGCAGCCAUUGUCUCUCACGACCGUCGGCCCCUGCUCGCGACGUCUCUACUGGAGCCGCCUCUGCCUACUCUUGUGUGUUGCAGCUCCUUACUCUAGCCACAUGCCGCUUGCUCUCCCGCUAGCCUCUGCCUCCUCUGGUCUCGAAGUUGAUGACACCCUGAUGCAAAGCUCCCACAAUCAUCCGCUCCGUCUCAGCAGGAGGAGAGCAAUGUUCUAUUAAUGGACAGAGGAGGAGAGCAAUGGAAAUAACACCCCGUCGCGGUCCUGGUGCUUCUCUCCAUGGGUUCGCUUGCAAACCUCGGCGUUUGCGGCUUCUAUAGGUACGUACUAGACGACUACCCAUUGUUUUUGUUUUCUAUUGACAGUUUGAUCGCUUCAUCAAUCCUUCUAGAGGGUCUUGACAGGAAGGACUGAGCAGCCACUGUGCUGGAGUAGACUGUGUGACAGGUUUUUUCCUCUCUCUCCUACCCGUGAUUGGUUUCUUUGGUGAAAAAAGCAUCACUGUCUUUCAAUACAUCAUGGAUGCUCAACCUGUAUGUCUACAUGGUACAAGAAUGAAGAUUAACCGUUCAGUCUAUUGAUUCAGAGUGAGACAAGGGUGAAACAGAAUAAGCUCAUUUUUGUGGUUCAUUGUCGGAAAAGAAUAUUUAGCAUGAAUGUAGGUGCUUUCAUAUGAAGCUGGACAUGUUUACAAUGAUCGACCGGAUAUCGUUACACGUGUCCUGAAUAUGAAGUUUAAUGAUUUCUGAGAAGAUGUUAAAAGUGGACAUUUGUUUGGUACAAUUCAAGCAUAUUUAUACAUGGUGGAAUUCCAGAAUAGAGGCUUGCCUCAUACUCAUACUUCAAUUCGGCUUAUAGGGAACAAUCAUGAGCCUUCGGCCUCCUUCAUAGAUGGUUUGAUUUCGGCUGAGAUACUUGAUCCUUUGGUUGAGCGCUGGUUAUGCUCUUAUGGAUUAAAGUAAAGUGUGCAUGUAUGAAAGAUGGAUCGAGUUCCAAAAGAUUUCCCAAAGAUUUUAAUGAGCAGACAUCGGUUGAUGAUAGAGGCUUUCCUAUAUAUCGUAGACGUGAUUUGGGUUACUAUGUGAGGAACAA
Triticum aestivum (bread wheat) is the source of this 1879-nucleotide long non-coding RNA. RefSeq lists it as uncharacterized. Lineage: Eukaryota; Viridiplantae; Streptophyta; Magnoliopsida; Poales; Poaceae. The record is from RefSeq and is a predicted model, not a curated record. The transcript has 4 exons.